This 736-nucleotide ribosomal RNA is filed under the name Levilactobacillus brevis. RNAcentral's name for it is "bacterial SSU rRNA". It matches the Rfam family "Bacterial small subunit ribosomal RNA", at positions 51 to 752 of the family's 1533-position model. Lineage: Bacteria; Bacillati; Bacillota; Bacilli; Lactobacillales; Lactobacillaceae. The record is from RNAcentral.
AUACAUGCAAGUCGAACGAGCUUCCGUUGAAUGACGUGCUUGCACUGAUUUCAACAAUGAAGCGAGUGGCGAACUGGUGAGUAACACGUGGGAAAUCUGCCCAGAAGCAGGGGAUAACACUUGGAAACAGGUGCUAAUACCGUAUACCAACAAAAUCCGCAUGGAUUUUGUUUGAAAGGUGGCUUCGGCUAUCACUUCUGGAUGAUCCCGCGGCGUAUUAGUUAGUUGGUGAGGUAAAGGCCCACCAAGACGAUGAUACGUAGCCGACCUGAGAGGGUAAUCGGCCACAUUGGGACUGAGACACGGCCCAAACUCCUACGGGAGGCAGCAGUAGGGAAUCUUCCACAAUGGACGAAAGUCUGAUGGAGCAAUGCCGCGUGAGUGAAGAAGGGUUUCGGCUCGUAAAACUCUGUUGUUAAAGAAGAACACCUUUGAGAGUAACUGUUCAAGGGUUGACGGUAUUUAACCAGAAAGCCACGGCUAACUACGUGCCAGCAGCCGCGGUAAUACGUAGGUGGCAAGCGUUGUCCGGAUUUAUUGGGCGUAAAGCGAGCGCAGGCGGUUUUUUAAGUCUGAUGUGAAAGCCUUCGGCUUAACCGGAGAAGUGCAUCGGAAACUGGGAGACUUGAGUGCAGAAGAGGACAGUGGAACUCCAUGUGUAGCGGUGGAAUGCGUAGAUAUAUGGAAGAACACCAGUGGCGAAGGCGGCUGUCUAGUCUGUAACUGACGCUGAGGC